UGGAGAGUUUGAUCCUGGCUCAGGACGAACGCUGGCGGCGUGCUUAACACAUGCAAGUCGAACGGAAAGGCCCUUCGGGGUACUCGAGUGGCGAACGGGUGAGUAACACGUGGGUGAUCUGCCCUGCACUCUGGGAUAAGCCUGGGAAACUGGGUCUAAUACCGGAUAGGACCGCAUGCUUCAUGGUGUGUGGUGCAAAGCUUUUGCGGUGUGGGAUGAGCCCGCGGCCUAUCAGCUUGUUGGUGGGGUAAUGGCCUACCAAGGCGACGACGGGUAGCCGGCCUGAGAGGGUGACCGGCCACACUGGGACUGAGAUACGGCCCAGACUCCUACGGGAGGCAGCAGUGGGGAAUAUUGCACAAUGGGCGCAAGCCUGAUGCAGCGACGCCGCGUGAGGGAUGACGGCCUUCGGGUUGUAAACCUCUUUCAGUAGGGACGAAGCGAAAGUGACGGUACCUACAGAAGAAGGACCGGCCAACUACGUGCCAGCAGCCGCGGUA
Molecule: ribosomal RNA, 500 nt
Filed under: Mycobacteroides immunogenum
Lineage: Bacteria; Bacillati; Actinomycetota; Actinomycetes; Mycobacteriales; Mycobacteriaceae
Description: bacterial SSU rRNA
Rfam family: Bacterial small subunit ribosomal RNA
Source: RNAcentral